Molecule: long non-coding RNA, 1174 nt
Filed under: Vigna radiata
Lineage: Eukaryota; Viridiplantae; Streptophyta; Magnoliopsida; Fabales; Fabaceae
Description: long non-coding RNA (VRAD_LNC017585)
Source: RNAcentral
GAAAAAUAAAAACAGAAAAAUAAAAACACCCCUCAGUAGGUGUUAGUUCUCUUUGCUUGAUAUUAUUUUCUUUUUCUUCUUGCUAAAUUUCUUCAUAAAGUUGAGGACACCAAGCACAUGUUUCCAUGUUUCAACCAUAGGAACUUUAAUCUCCAAUUUCUUGAAGAUCUCCAUAAAGCACUUGACUUUCUUUUCCUUCCUAUGAUUUUUCUUUUAAUGACGAAGGGGCUUUUCAUAUGAUCUUUUCUUCUUUCCUCUCUUCCUUUUUUUCUCACUCUUCCCCCUCAACUUUCUCUUUUUCUUUCGUUUUAUUUUCUUCUUUAUUUUUGCACAUUUUCUAUUUUUCUUUUUUCUUUCAACCACUUGAAUGAUAAAGCUCCCUGGAUCUUGUAAUUUAGGAGGUAAUGUUCUCUGUAUGAUUGCAUUGCAAUUUCCUUGCACCUCAAUAGUUUCCUUCUCAAUAUACUUCCUUUCUUUCAUGAGAAGUUCUUUCAAAAAUUUCGCAUCUGAUGGUAUUUGCUGAAGUGCCUCAGAGAAUGGUAUGGUUAUUUCCAAUUUCUUGUGAAUCUCCAUAAAACGCUGCAAUUGCUUUUCUUUUUCCCUCCUAGAAUAUGUCUUUGGAUAGGGCAAGGGUUUUUCAUACUCCCUCUCUUUCAAUUGUACAACAUCUUCUUCUAUCUUUUCUUCAUCUAUCUUCUCCUCAACAACAACCUUUUCUGUUUCUAUCUCUUCUAUCUUUUUCACCUCUCUCUUUAUCUUGUCCUCAUCAAUUUGUGUCUCCAAAUUCCUUAAGGUAACUUCAUAGCUCUUGGAAUCAUAUUUCUCCAAAAAUUUGUGGAACUUUUCAUUAAGGCUUUUGACUUGUUCCGUCACAUCAACUAUUUGUUGACAAAGUUUUUGAUCAUACUCCCACGUUUCUAUUGCUGAAGAGUAUUGUUGCUACCACUGAUAUUGUUGCCUUUCUUCCAUGCUUCUAUGAGAAGAAAAUCUUGUAUACAUGUCUUGUGGCAAAAAUUCAUCAUUCUUUACAGUCUCCUCUAUGCCUUUGACAUGGUAAAUUUCUAAAUUCAUAAUUCUCUGAAAAAUUUCAUCAGAUUCUACACUUCUUUGUAUAGGCAUGAAAUGAGGCUCAGCAGCUUGUGCAUAUUGACUUUGAUCCAUGUAUGAGUAAGGU